This 2391-nucleotide long non-coding RNA is filed under the name Sus scrofa (pig). RNAcentral's name for it is "lncRNA (ENSSSCG00035023474.1)". Lineage: Eukaryota; Metazoa; Chordata; Mammalia; Artiodactyla; Suidae. The record is from RNAcentral.
AUCUCCACGCAUACCUGCCUACCCUGCUAGAGUCACCCUUUCUAACCCAGGCGACUUCAACUUGGGGGGGUCCUUCCUCAGCCUGGCCUGCAGUUCCGUCCUUUCUGGAAAAAGCUGCUACCACAACCACUAGCUGAGCCAUGAAAAGUUCUCAACUCUGAAAAUUUCAUACCAGAUUGAUACUGAACCCAGUUUUGCUGGGCUUGCCACCCUCUGGAUCGAACCUGCGUCCUCAUGGAUACUAGUCAGGUUCCUUAACCACUGAGCCACAACGGGAACUCCAAUAUAUAGCUUUUUGUAUGUCAACCAUACCUUAGUCAAGUGGUUUUCAAAAAAUGUAACCAAGGAGUUCUCUUGUGGGACAGCGGGUUUGGGAUCCAGCAUUGUGGUGGGGGUUUGAUUCCCGGCCUGGUGCAGUGGGUUAAGGAUCUGGUGUUGCUGCAGCUGUGGUGAAGGUCGCCGCUGUGGCUGGGAUUCAGUCCCUGGCCUGGGAACUUCCAUAUGCCAUGGGUGCAGCCAAACAAUUAAAAUUAAGACUCUUCCUCAUUCAAUUUUUACCACAUGGUGGGUGCCAAGUUUUUACAUAUAUUCUGUUUAAUUUAAUAUUCUUGUCACUCCUAGGACAUAGUUGUCCCCUGCUAUCCAUGGGGGCCUGGUUCCAGAACUCCUGGACAGCAAAGUCCUUGGGAUGAGGGUGGAGCGGGAGAGUUGCACAGGUAGUGGCGGAAGUCCCUUCAGGAACUACAGGCAGACAGGGAGACCCGGGGGACUUUGGGAGAUCACUCUACGUCAACAACUGCCCAAGAAUGCCAUCAGAACGAGGCAGGCUUGCUCGAUUCGUGGAGAGCCUGAGAUGUGCUUCAGGCCAUUGGAUGGGAGAUGGGGUGAGACAGGCAUUCAAGUUCAGACCAAGGGCAGGAGGUUAAGGACCACCCUUCUGCUGAUUUGAAUAAGCACCCUGACAGUCCUAAUUUGACCUUAGAGGGUCAAAUACUCUCUUACUGGAUACGAAGUUGGAGCUACUACUGGAAGAAAGAGGAAGAGGCGGUCUUUUCCCACCCCCACUGCCCUUGGAUUAUAAAACUGCAGCCCAUUGAAUCCUCAGGGCAGAGCCUCCUUGCUGCCCACUUGCAUCUCUCACAAGCAUCCUAUCUUAACAAAUCUAUUUCUUGCCCAUCACUUUGUCUCUCACUGAAUUCCUUGGCGCUGAGACACAACGAACCUGAACUUCAGGAAGUCCAGACACAGGGUAAGUGAUUCUAAUUUAAAAACUGUGGAUUCAAGUACCAAUCCGGGUUCUGACAGGACUCGAGUCCCGGCACACGGUUUCUAGAACCCAUCCUGGCACAUGGGUUCUAAGUUCAAGUCACAAGUGCUGUCAGUGUCACUUGGAUGCUCAAGUCCCUCCUAUAAAAUGGUAUAUAAUUUGCUUAUAACCUACUCAUAGCCUCCUUAUACUUUAAAUCAUCUCUAGAUUACUUCGCAUACCUAAUAAAAUGUAAAUACCAUGUAAAUAAUUGUAAAAACUAUAUAAAAAAUUCUGAGUGCACAGCAAAUUCAAGUUCCGCUUUUUGGAAAUUCUGUAACUUUUUCCCCCUGAACUGUCCAUCCUCCUUUGGUUGAAUGUGAAGAUGUGGAACCUGUGGAUAGGGAGGCGUGAUUGUAUUAUUAUUAUUCCCAUUUUGCAGAUGAGAACAGUUCCUGAGAGGCUGCUGCCAAAGAAUGCAAAGCUCUUUGUGAGGCAUCCAGGUGGGAUUUGAUCCAGAGCCUGCCUGUCUCCAGAGCAUGGGCCCUGAAUUAUGAUGUCAUAGAGCUUUCCUGCUUCCUAUGAUGGCAUAGAGGAUUAUAUCAGGAUGCAUAAUCUGGGGCUGUAUGGGAGCUCCUAGUCUGAUUUUUCUCUACAGCAAUACUUGAAGAUACAACAAGGACAGGAGCAGCUGAUGAGGCUGGACUGUUCAUUGUCCGGCAGUUCCUCCCUCCACCCCUUCUACCUUGUAAUGGAUUUUGAGAAGCCUUCCGGCUCACUGGGCAGUUGUGAGCAUUACCUAGGCUACAGGUGAACAUUUAUAUAAUCUUAAUUUAAUAGUGAAGACUUGGGUAUGGUAAAAGACUCAUUUAUCCAACCGAUAAGCAAUGCUGUACCACAUAUUACAUUAGAAUAAAAAUAUAGGAAUAAAAGGGAGUUCUCACCAUGGCUCAGCAGUCAACGAACCCAACUAGUAUCUAUGAGGACGCAGGUUCUAACCCUGGCCUUGCUCAGUGGGUCGAAGAUCUGGCAUGGGAGUGAGUUGUGGUGUAGAUUGCAGACCCGGCUCAGAUCCCACGUCGCUGUGGCUGUGGUGUAGGCUGGAAGCUGCAGCUCUGACUCAGUCCCUAACCUGGGAACCUCCA